AACUAUAACGGUCCUAAGGUAGCGAAAUUCCUUGUCGGGUAAGUUCCGACCUGCACGAAUGGCGUAACGAUGGCCACACUGUCUCCUCCAGAGACUCAGCGAAGUUGAAAUGUUUGUGAUGAUGCAAUCUCCCCGCGGAAAGACGGAAAGACCCCAUGAACCUUUACUGUAGCUUUACAUUGGACUUUGAACAGAUCUGUGUAGGAUAGGUGGGAGGCUUUGAAGUGGUGCCGCUAGGUGCCAUGGAGCCAACGUUGAAAUACCACCCUGGUGUGUUUGAGGUUCUAACCUUGACCCGUUAUCCGGGUUGGGGACAGUGUAUGGUAGGCAGUUUGACUGGGGCGGUCUCCUCCCAAAGCGUAACGGAGGAGUUCGAAGGUACGCUAGGCACGGUCGGAAAUCGUGCUGAUAGUGCAUUGGCAUAAGCGUGCUUGACUGCGAGACUGACAAGUCGAGCAGGUACGAAAGUAGGACAAAGUGAUCCGGUGGUUCUGUAUGGAAGGGCCAUCGCUCAACGGAUAAAAGGUACUCUGGGGAUAACAGGCUGAUACCGCCCAAGAGUUCAUAUCGACGGCGGUGUUUGGCACCUCGAUGUCGGCUCAUCUCAUCCUGGGGCUGUAGCCGGUCCCAAGGGUAUGGCUGUUCGCCAUUUAAAGAGGUACGUGAGCUGGGUUUAAAACGUCGUGAGACAGUUUGGUCCCUAUCUUCCGUGGGCGCUGCAAGAUUGAGAGAGCCUGCUCCUAGUACGAGAGGACCGGAGUGGACGCACCUCUGGUGUAUCGGUUGUCACGCCAGUGGCAUUGCCGAGUAGCUAAGUGCGGAAGAGAUAACCGCUGAAAGCAUCUAAGCGGGAAACUCGUCUCAAGAUGAGUCUUGCCGGGGCCUUGAGCCCCCUGAAGAGUCGUUCGAGACCAGGACGUUGAUAGGCUGGGUGUGGAAGCGCAGUAAUGCGUUAAGCUAACCAGUACUAAUUGCUCGUGAGGCUUGACCCU
RNAcentral lists this ribosomal RNA (992 nucleotides) under Pelomonas sp. JGI 0001002-B21. RNAcentral's name for it is "bacterial LSU rRNA". It matches the Rfam family "Bacterial large subunit ribosomal RNA", at positions 1938 to 2925 of the family's 2925-position model. Lineage: Bacteria; Pseudomonadati; Pseudomonadota; Betaproteobacteria; Burkholderiales; Sphaerotilaceae. The record is from RNAcentral.